This 74-nucleotide transfer RNA is filed under the name Haematopus ater (blackish oystercatcher). Its description in RNAcentral is "tRNA-Leu". It matches the Rfam family "tRNA". Rfam says of the family: Transfer RNA (tRNA) molecules are approximately 80 nucleotides in length. Lineage: Eukaryota; Metazoa; Chordata; Aves; Charadriiformes; Haematopodidae. The record is from RNAcentral.
GCUAGUGUGGCAGAGCUUGGUAAAUGCAAAAGACUUAAGUCCUUUACGCAGAGGUUCAAAUCCUCUCUCUAGCU